This 1673-nucleotide ribosomal RNA is filed under the name Acidobacteriota bacterium. Its description in RNAcentral is "Acidobacteria bacterium partial 23S ribosomal RNA". It matches the Rfam family "Bacterial large subunit ribosomal RNA", at positions 1 to 1724 of the family's 2925-position model. The record is from RNAcentral. Lineage: Bacteria; Pseudomonadati; Acidobacteriota.
GGUCAAGUGAAGAAGCGCAUACGGUGGAUGCCUUGGCAGUCAGAGGCGAUGAAAGACGUGGUAGCCUGCGAAAAGCUUUGGGGAGUCGGCAAACAGACUGUGAUCCAGAGAUCUCUGAAUGGGGGAACCCAGCCAGCACAAGCUGGUUAUCUUGUACUGAAUACAUAGGUGCAAGAGGCGAACCAGGGGAACUGAAACAUCUAAGUACCCUGAGGAAAAGAAAUCAACCGAGAUUCCCUUAGUAGUGGCGAGCGAACGGGGACCAGCCCUUAAGUUGAUUUGAGAUUAGUGGAACGCUCUGGAAAGUGCGGCCAUAGUGGGUGAUAGCCCCGUACACGAAAAUCUCUUAUCAAUGAAAUCGAGUAGGACGGAGCACGAGAAACUUUGUCUGAAUAUGGGGGGACCAUCCUCCAAGGCUAAAUACUACUGACUGACCGAUAGUGAACCAGUACCGUGAGGGAAAGGCGAAAAGAACCCCGGAGAGGGGAGUGAAAUAGAACCUGAAACCGUAUGCGUACAAGCAGUGGGAGCCUACUUUGUUAGGUGACUGCGUACCUUUUGUAUAAUGGGUCAGCGACUUAUAUUCAGUGGCGAGCUUAACCGAAUAGGGGAGGCGUAGCGAAAGCGAGUCUUAAUAGGGCGUUUAGUCGCUGGGUAUAGACCCGAAACCGGGCGAUCUAUCCAUGGGCAGGUUGAAGGUUAGGUAACACUGACUGGAGGACCGAACCGACUACCGUUGAAAAGUUAGCGGAUGACCUGUGGAUCGGAGUGAAAGGCUAAUCAAGCUCGGAGAUAGCUGGUUCUCCUCGAAAGCUAUUUAGGUAGCGCCUCAUGUAUCACUGUAGGGGGUAGAGCACUGUUUCGGCUAGGGGGUCAUCCCGACUUACCAAACCGAUGCAAACUCCGAAUACCUACAAGUGCCGAGCAUGGGAGACACACGGCGGGUGCUAACGUCCGUCGUGAAAAGGGAAACAACCCAGACCGUCAGCUAAGGUCCCAAAGUCAUGGUUAAGUGGGAAACGAUGUGGGAAGGCUUAGACAGCUAGGAGGUUGGCUUAGAAGCAGCCACCCUUUAAAGAAAGCGUAAUAGCUCACUAGUCGAGUCGGCCUGCGCGGAAGAUGUAACGGGGCUCAAACCAUGCACCGAAGCUACGGGUAUCAUCUUAUGAUGAUGCGGUAGAGGAGCGUUCUGUAAGCCUGUGAAGGUGAGUUGAGAAGCUUGCUGGAGGUAUCAGAAGUGCGAAUGCUGACAUGAGUAACGACAAUGCGAGUGAAAAACUCGCACGCCGAAAGACCAAGGUUUCCUGCGCAACGUUAAUCGACGCAGGGUUAGUCGGUCCCUAAGGCGAGGCUGAAAAGCGUAGUCGAUGGAAAACAGGUUAAUAUUCCUGUACUUCCAGUUAUUGCGAUGGAGGGACGGAGAAGGUUAGGCCAGCCUGGCGUUGGUUGUCCAGGUUUAAGGUGGUAGGCUGAAAUCUUAGGCAAAUCCGGGAUUUCAAGGCCGAGAGCUGAUGACGAGUUGCCUUUAGGCGAUGAAGUGGUUGAUACCAUGCUUCCAAGAAAAGCUCCUAAGCUUCAGAUAACUGGGAACCGUACCCCAAACCGACACAGGUGGUUAGGUAGAGAAUACCAAGGCGCUUGAGAGAACUCGGGUGAAGGAACUAGGCAAAAUG